GGUGAGAUGGCUCAGUGGGUAAGAGCACCCGACUGCUCUUCUGAAGGUCCAGAGUUCAAAUCCCAGUAACCA
This 72-nucleotide transfer RNA is filed under the name Mus musculus (house mouse). Its description in RNAcentral is "tRNA-Ser". Lineage: Eukaryota; Metazoa; Chordata; Mammalia; Rodentia; Muridae. The record is from RNAcentral.